CGCCUCAGACCGGAAGGUGGACAGAGCGCGAGGAGAGAAGCUGGCUUCUCACCAAAGGAUGGUCCAAAAAUGCGAUCCCUGUUACACUUGUUACACCAUUAAUCUCUUUAUCAAAACCUUUUGUGUGAGUCCUGGUUCUCCUAAAAGAAGAGGCUAAAAUGAGAUUUAAAGCAGAAGGAUUUUAUUAGGGGAAAGAUGUGAAAAAAAUAGGGAGGGAUCCAGAGAUGGUUAGGAGGGCCAUCAGACCCUGAAUGAAGAAGAGAAGGGGGAGGAAGUUUUCGUGGGAGCAUCCUAGACCACCGUGCAGUCUGGAAGGUUCUCGGGGCCAUUGGUGCGUCGUUCCUCUGCUCCAUCAUUGCCUGGGAGCAGCAGCCCGCGGGAUGUCAGAGCUGGCACUGGGGCCCUGGAUCAAUUACAGGCACUGGAGCAGCAGGUCCCAGAGGCACAUGGUCAUAGCGGCUCCACCUCUCUUCCUAGUUACGGGGUUCCAGUUUCAAGUUCAAAUCCGUGUUUGUCUGGACCAGGGCUUUCUGCGCGGCUUUCGAAUGUGGGCGGCAAUCGAAGACAGAAAGUUUGCACGCCACAGCAUUUCAGCAGCUGAAUAGCGCGAUGGUUUGUGAAGACCAAUGGGCAAGUAUUUAAAAAAUCAAUGAAGAGUUUCUCAAGGCUAGUCCCCUCCUGGCAGAAACGCUUGGGACACCUGUUCAAAUUUCUUUAUUUCUGCCCAGACCUGUCAAAUCAAAGCCUUGGGGGUUGAGAACCAGAGGCCCCCAGCAGACGCCACAUUUAUAGAUGGCUCCAAGGUAAAGGAAGCUCGUUUGAGGGGUUCACACCAAACCCAAAUUAAAUGGUACCAAACAAGUGAAAUCUAACUAUAUUUUCAUAUCACAAUCUCCUACAUUUUUCUUGCCACUGGAAUCUGCAUACAUACACCCUCGUGGUUCAAACUCAUUCUAUUUUCCCAGCCCUCCUUUCAGACAGCCAAAAAAAAAAAAAAAGGUUACAAUAUUCUCAGAAAACUGUGCUUCAGAGAAAGCAGUAAGGUUGCUCAAUCGUUUCCCCUUGUUAAUUUGAGGAUCUUAAAUUAUGCAUGUUGUUGUGCAGGCAUUUGCAUGUGGAAUUCACAUGGCUGAGCUACCAGUCUAGGAGACAAAAUUAAGCAUAAUAAUUCGAGUAACCUGUGUCUGGUCUCGGCACCUGAAUUUCAAGGCUGACUGUGUCUGAGAUAAAGAAUAGAUAAUUAAAUGAUUUGGGAAAAUGCAGAUGGAGCGUUGCUGGGGUCCAAAUAGGAAAGGAGGUGCCUGAGCCCCCUCCCGCCUGCAGCCCUUCUGGACUGCCCAUCCUCUCGCCUUCCACGCCCUCUGGAUUUCAUAACCUUCACGAGGCCGUUUCCCAGAAGGCGCUGACUGCCCGAUUCCCAUCCUUCAGGCUAGCUGGGCAGGAAGGCCAGAAGUGGAGUUUGUCCCCGGCCUGACGUGGGUAACCUUGACUAUAAAGAAACCACCACAAUACAGAUGGCCCUGAAAUUUGAAGCGAGGCGACCGCAAUAUGCAGAUCGGGAACUCGGAGCCGCGCGUCCAUUGGCUGAUUCCUGCUGUGACGUCACAAAGGGCCAGCCCCAACGUGGCCAGAAGUGCUGCGGGCAAGUUUCUGGACCAGUUGAAAAGCUUUUAUUAUUUUUGUGUGUGUGCGAGCCCUUUUUUUUUUUUUAAAUCAGCUGGUGCUGGUUUCCUGCAUUUCCUGUUAGGGGGAAAAAACCGUUUUCAUGUACAGCGAGAGCUGAAGAACUCAGGGCCAAAGAGCGUUUUGUUCUCUGUGGGGCGGCUCUGUCUCUUUACUUGGGGUUGACCAGUGUUGUGCACGAAAAUGACAUGCGGAAAGCUGUAAAUUCCGAAAAGCUCUGGGGACCUCAGGACCCUCUUCAGCGUCGUGGUUUCCAAGAAGCCCCACACUGACCCAAACCCUGUUCGAGGCAAACGCAGAAUCAAGUUCCCUGGCUCAUGAGUUUCUGACAGUCUCCCACCCAGCGUGAAGUUCCCAAUUUCGAUGUCUGAAGAGCAGAAGUUUAUCACAGCCCAGAGAGAAAGAUUAUGGCAGGAUCACAAAAUAGAUACCUACAAGCUUUGCACGUCCAAGGAUUGUCUUUCCCAAACAGUCGCCCUUGAAAUGUCUGGCGGCAACUGUGACUGCCUCUUGGUCCCCUGAAGCCACUGGGAAUUUUUCCAACAUCUCUCACCACGGGGAAUGCCGCCUCCCCAGACUGGCACAGACAGAGAUGUGACACAACUGAAACUUUCCCUGGGGGUGGGCUGGGGUGAGGGGACACUCUGCGUUGUUGGUUUGAUUUGCCCAGAUGCCAUGUUACCUCCCGGGAAUAGCAUCCAUUUUUUUCCUUUGGGGAAUCAUCCCAACCUCAUUGUCAGUCUUUGUUGGCAUGGAGGGGAUCCCCUGUCCCAGGCCUGGCCCAUCCCUGUGUUCCAUUCUCCUGGAUACUCAGUGAUUAGAUGAGGACCAGGCACGUCGCACACAUGGCUGGUGAUGGUCAAUCCUGGGACCUCAUGGGAACUCUGAGAAUCGGUGCUCUCUCUUCUCAGUGGGAUUGCUAAACUGGUGAGACAUAGCCAGGGAGCUAACGGUGACCAUCUUUGCCCCAACAAAGAAAGAGGCUAUUCAACAAUGAAGUCAAUACAAAAAAAGAUGGGAUAGAAGAGAGAGACAGAUUUCUGACAUUGUUUGAACACCUGGAUCCAGCUGUGCCUGAAAGAAGACCCUGUACCUUUUAGUUAAUGGACUCAGUACAUUUUCAUUUUGAUGUAAGUCUGAUUGAGUUGAGUUUCUCUUAACUCAGCAAGAGUCCUCACUUGUACAUCCAAUUGCAAGCCAAGUGUGACCCUCGAGGGUGGGCUUAGGGCCACAAUAGGCUCCUCCCUGUAUGGUUUCAUGCUGAUUCACUUCUGCUUCUCUAACACUUGGUAGGGGAGGGGAAGAGUUGGCAUGACGGCACAUAGAUGACAGAUAGGGGAGAUUGGUUGUUGUGGAGUAGGACAGCUCAGGGAUCGAAUGAAGAGGAUUGGAGUCAGAGCUGGGCAACUGACAUCGCCUCUCUGAGCCCUCGCUUCCCUCCUCUGUAACAAGGGGGUAAUAAAAGUCUCUGCCACUUGGUGUUGUGUGGAGGUUUUAUGCACAGCGUCUGGGGAGAUGGGCUCCCUGCUCCUGGCCUCUGGUGCAAUGUAGGGGCGGCGAGCCGAGGGCUCUGAAAGCCUUCACUGCGGUCGUAACCAACAGCUCUGAGCCUCUGUUGACACUGCCGGCCACGAGCACCUGCCGAGCCAGCAGCCUGCACCUGCCACCCGCCACUCCAGGAAGGGAUUCCGACCCCACCAGAGCAGGCGGCCUCCAUUCUAGGCCGGAUCUUGGCUGUGUGCAGAGUCUGCGAGCCCGCCCACCUGUUCUGCAACCCCAGCU
Molecule: long non-coding RNA, 3465 nt
Filed under: Equus caballus (horse)
Lineage: Eukaryota; Metazoa; Chordata; Mammalia; Perissodactyla; Equidae
Description: lncRNA (ENSECAG00000043996.1)
Source: RNAcentral